Molecule: ribosomal RNA, 1436 nt
Filed under: uncultured organism
Description: 16S ribosomal RNA
Rfam family: Bacterial small subunit ribosomal RNA
Source: RNAcentral
CAGGCUUAACACAUGCAAGUCGAGGGGCAGCAUGGUCUUAGCUUGCUAAGGCCGAUGGCGACCGGCGCACGGGUGAGUAACACGUAUCCAACCUGCCGUCUACUCUUGGACAGCCUUCUGAAAGGAAGAUUAAUACAAGAUGGCAUCAUGAGUCCGCAUGUUCACAUGAUUAAAGGUAUUCCGGUAGACGAUGGGGAUGCGUUCCAUUAGAUAGUAGGCGGGGUAACGGCCCACCUAGUCUUCGAUGGAUAGGGGUUCUGAGAGGAAGGUCCCCCACAUUGGAACUGAGACACGGUCCAAACUCCUACGGGAGGCAGCAGUGAGGAAUAUUGGUCAAUGGGCGAGAGCCUGAACCAGCCAAGUAGCGUGAAGGAUGACUGCCCUAUGGGUUGUAAACUUCUUUUAUAAAGGAAUAAAGUCGGGUAUGGAUACCCGUUUGCAUGUACUUUAUGAAUAAGGAUCGGCUAACUCCGUGCCAGCAGCCGCGGUAAUACGGAGGAUCCGAGCGUUAUCCGGAUUUAUUGGGUUUAAAGGGAGCGUAGAUGGAUGUUUAAGUCAGUUGUGAAAGUUUGCGGCUCAACCGUAAAAUUGCAGUUGAUACUGGAUAUCUUGAGUGCAGUUGAGGCAGGCGGAAUUCGUGGUGUAGCGGUGAAAUGCUUAGAUAUCACGAAGAACUCCGAUUGCGAAGGCAGCCUGCUAAGCUGCAACUGACAUUGAGGCUCGAAAGUGUGGGUAUCAAACAGGAUUAGAUACCCUGGUAGUCCACACGGUAAACGAUGAAUACUCGCUGUUUGCGAUAUACAGCAAGCGGCCAAGCGAAAGCGUUAAGUAUUCCACCUGGGGAGUACGCCGGCAACGGUGAAACUCCAAGGGAAUUGACGGGGGGCCCGCACAAGCGGAGGAACAUGUGGUUUAAUUCGAUGAUACGCGAGGAACCUUACCCGGGCUUAAAUUGCAGAUGAAUUGCGGUGAAAGCCGUAAGCCGCAAGGCAUCUGUGAAGGUGCUGCAUGGUUGUCGUCAGCUCGUGCCGUGAGGUGUCGGGUUAAGUGCCAUAACGAGCGCAACCCUUGUUGUCAGUUACUAACAGGUUCCGCUGAGGACUCUGACAAGACUUCCAUCGUAAGAUGUGAGGAAGGUGGGGAUGACGUCAAAUCAGCACGGCCCUUACGUCCGGGGCUACACACGUGUUACAAUGGGGGGUACAGAGGGCCGCUACCACGCGAGUGGAUGCCAAUCCCCAAAACCUCUCUCAGUUCGGACUGGAGUCUGCAACCCGACUCCACGAAGCUGGAUUCGCUAGUAAUCGCGCAUCAGCCACGGCGCGGUGAAUACGUUCCCGGGCCUUGUACACACCGCCCGUCAAGCCAUGGGAGCCGGGGGUACCUGAAGUGCGUAACCGCGAGGAGCGCCCUAGGGUAAAACUGGUGACUGGGGC